CCUACAUGUUAAGAUAAAAAAAAUUAACGACGUGUUUGUCUAUAAUUGUCUAUCCUGUUACUGUAACCAUAGCAACCAUAGUAACAGGAUAGACAUAACAGGAUAGACAAAUUUCUUCGUUUUUGAUCGCUGUUGUGAAAUAACUACUCCCUUUGGUGAAGUGAUUAUGGUUUUCUAUUGUGAAUUUGGUUUCCAACACGUUAUUGCACUUUUUACAACCAUACUGUUAGUGUAAUUAAUCAAAAUGGUCGGUAACAGCAUAGACAUGAAAAAAAGUACGCUCUAUUUUUUUCACUAAAUGUCUUGAAAUUUCUUUUCUCUACACUGUCGUUCAAGAAACGAGGCGUUUUAAAUGUAAAGAUUACUUUGCAUUUUUGAAAUCAACACUGACUGAUUCAAUAUUCAUAGGGAGAAUAAUUUAACGACUGAUUUAAGUAGCGGUAACAGGAUAGACAUGAACCUCCUGUACGCUGAUUGAAUUUAAUUUGUAGAUAAUCUGUUACAUACAAUGAUAAAGAAGCUACGAUUUUUC
This 532-nucleotide long non-coding RNA is filed under the name Mytilus galloprovincialis (Mediterranean mussel). Lineage: Eukaryota; Metazoa; Mollusca; Bivalvia; Mytilida; Mytilidae. The record is from RNAcentral.